Molecule: ribosomal RNA, 567 nt
Filed under: Tuber caryophilum
Lineage: Eukaryota; Fungi; Ascomycota; Pezizomycetes; Pezizales; Tuberaceae
Description: Tuber sp. RGO-2021a partial large subunit ribosomal RNA
Rfam family: Eukaryotic large subunit ribosomal RNA
Source: RNAcentral
AAGCGGAGGAAAAGAAACCAACAGGGAUUGCCUCAGUAACGGCGAGUGAAGCGGCAAAAGCUCAAAUUUGAAAUCUGGCACCUCUGGUGUCCGAGUUGUAAUUUGGAGAGGCAUCUUCCGGAGGGGCCCAGCCUAUGUUCCUUGGAACAGGACAUCGCAGAGGGUGAGAAUCCCGUUCAUGGCUGGAUGUACCCUUCAGUUUGUAGCGCCUUCUACGAGUCGAGUUGUUUGGGAAUGCAGCUCAAAAUGGGUGGUAAAUUUCAUCUAAAGCUAAAUAUUGGCGAGAGACCGAUAGCGCACAAGUAGAGUGAUCGAAAGAUGAAAAGCACUUUGAAAAUAGAGUCAAAAAGUACGUGAAAUUGUUGAAAGGGAAGCGCUUGAGACCAGACUCAGCCUUUGGCAAACAAUUAUCCUUCUGGAUGGUGCACUUGCCCUUGGCUGGGCCAGCAUCAGUUAGGACGGUAGAAUAAAGGCUCAAGGAAUGUGACUCCACUCUGGAGUGUUAUAGCCUUGAGUGCCAUACUGCCUGUCUUGACUGUGGACCGCGCUUCGGCUAGGAUGCUGGCA